CACAUGACUCUCGGCAACGGAUAUCUCAGCUCUCGCAUCGAUGAAGAACGUAGCGAAAUGCAAUACCUGGUGCGAAUUGCAGAAUCUCGUGAACCAUCGAGUCUUUGAACGCAAGUUGCGCCCGAGGCCACUUGGCCGAGGGCACGCCUGCCUGGGCGUCACGC
This 164-nucleotide ribosomal RNA is filed under the name Thinopyrum intermedium. RNAcentral's name for it is "5.8S ribosomal RNA". It matches the Rfam family "5.8S ribosomal RNA". From Rfam's summary of the family: 5.8S ribosomal RNA (5.8S rRNA) is a component of the large subunit of the eukaryotic ribosome. It is transcribed by RNA polymerase I as part of the 45S precursor that also contains 18S and 28S rRNA. Functionally, it is thought that 5.8S rRNA may be involved in ribosome translocation. Lineage: Eukaryota; Viridiplantae; Streptophyta; Magnoliopsida; Poales; Poaceae. The record is from RNAcentral.